This is a long non-coding RNA of Leopardus geoffroyi (Geoffroy's cat), 328 nucleotides long. RefSeq lists it as uncharacterized. The transcript has 2 exons. The record is from RefSeq and is a predicted model, not a curated record. NCBI's taxonomy places the organism in Eukaryota, Metazoa, Chordata, Mammalia, Carnivora, Felidae.
UCCCCCCACAGUUCCUCGAGCCGUCGCGCCGGGGUGGCCCUUUAGCUCUUCGCACCUGCGCGCCAGGGGCGUGGGGGAGGGGAGAGCUCGGAGUGGCCGUCAACUUCACCUCCAGUGUGAAGCCCCUUGCGGGGCUCAAGCUCACCACCCUGAGAUCAAGAUCUGAGCUGAGAUCCAGAGCUAGACGUUCAAACAACAGCCACCCAGACACCCCUAAAAAUUCUAAUUCUGAAGGUAGUUGCUCAUUCGACCUUAUUGGGAACCAGUGAAUGAUAUAAUAAAGUAAUCAAGAUUUGAACAAUAAAUGCAAAAGCAAGAUUCAAACAGA